UGUGCAGAAAAACCGCGAUCGUUUCAAAUGAGAAAGCGAUGAGUCCCUCUCAUACUGAUAACCAUCAGACAGAGAAACUCCCUUUUAAACUAGCGUCACGAAAUGGAAUCCAAACAAAUAACACCUCAUUUGGGUUUUUUGUUUUUUUGGCCCAAAAGACAAGAAGAAUGUGCCAGUCAAGGAAAAAUGGAAGGUAUUUCAAAAACAAAACAUAAACCCACGAAAUGAAGGUAAGUCACAAUAUUUAGGACGGUCAGCAACAGUAAGGACACCGGGAGUGCGGAUGAUCCAAAUGGAAACCUUGAAUCAUUUUAACGUGUAUCCAAAGGUGAGAAAUAAUAUACAGAUAAAUAACAUACAUAUUAAACUUUAGUACACAUGCACAGGGAUGUCAUUUCCCAUGGAAGACCAGAAGAUGCAUAAGAACAUACUAAAAGGAGCAUCUACAGAUGUUUCUGAUGGAUUUUGGGCAACUAAUUGAAAGUUGCUUCAACUAGUUAACUAAUAUCAACUUCUUCUACUAUCUGGCAUUCACAGUGAAAUGGAAGCAUGACAAGCGCAAAUGAGACCAAAUGAACCAUGGACGGACAGCAACAGCGAGGACACAGAGAGUGCAGAUGAUUGGAAUGGAAGCAUUGAAUCAUUUUAACCUCUGAUCCAAAGUGAGGAAAAUAAUAUACAGACAAAUACCAUAGAGAGCAAACUCCAGUACAGAACUCAUGGUCAUGUACUUCACCUGAGAGGCCAAACGAGUCUUAUUUGGGGCAGAACAAUCCAAUCUUUCUUUACAUAGUGAGAAAGAAACGGUGGAUUGGUGAUUAAAGAUUUUAAAUGAAUAAAGAUUGGUUCCUGGCUUCAGCUCAAAGCGGUUGAGAACCCAAACUGUGUUGAAUAUGAGAGCUGUUGGUGUUUGAGCACAGGGGGGCAGUGUGACACAUCAAAUGAAAUGGCCAAAUAUUGAACCCGAUUCUGCUGACCUUACUGUACAUCUCCAUCAACAGCUCAUUGCAGAACGACAACAGAACAAAACUGCUAUAUUAAAAUCAUCUUUAACUGUAUAUAAAGAGUCCUGGGCCUCUAAAUGAUCAAAACAUGUGUUGUACACAAUCUACUGAUAUAUUGUUAUAUUUUAAGACGAACAACUACUUGACUGAAUCAGCUUGGGUUUACUGAUUUAUACAUUUAUCAUUAUUUAGAAAAUCAUAUAUUAAAUGCCCC
Long non-coding RNA from Cyprinus carpio carpio, 1218 nucleotides. NCBI's taxonomy places the organism in Eukaryota, Metazoa, Chordata, Actinopteri, Cypriniformes, Cyprinidae. The record is from Ensembl.